This 391-nucleotide ribosomal RNA is filed under the name uncultured bacterium. Its description in RNAcentral is "bacterial SSU rRNA". It matches the Rfam family "Bacterial small subunit ribosomal RNA", at positions 775 to 1161 of the family's 1533-position model. The record is from RNAcentral.
GGAUUAGAAACCCGGGUAGUCCAUGCCGUAAACGUUGGGAACUAGAUGUGGGGACCAUUCCACGGUCUCCGUGUCGUAGCUAACGCAUUAAGUUCCCCGCCUGGGGAGUACGGCCGCAAGGCUAAAACUCAAAGGAAUUGACGGGGGCCCGCACAAGCGGCGGAGCAUGCGGAUUAAUUCGAUGCAACGCGAAGAACCUUACCAAGGCUUGACAGGUAUACGGAGAACGCACUGGAGACAGUGAACUCUUUGGACACUCGUAUACAGGUGGUGCAUGGUUGUCGUCAGCUCGUGUCGUGAGAUGUUGGGUUAAGUCCCGCAACGAGCGCAACCCUCGUCCUAUGUUGCCAGCACGUAAUGGUGGGAACUCAUGGGAUACUGCCGGGGUCAA